UACGAAGGGGGCUAGCGUUGCUCGGAAUUACUGGGCGUAAAGCGCACGUAGGCGGCUUUCUAAGUCGGAUGUGAAAUCCCCAGGCUCAACUUGGGAACUGCAUCCGAUACUGGAUGGCUUGAAUUCGGGAGAGGGAUGCAGAAUUCCAGGUGUAGCGGUGAAAUGCGUAGAUAUCUGGAGGAAUACCGGUGGCGAAGGCGGCAUCCUGGACCGACAUUGACGCUGAGGAGCGAAAGCUAGGGGAGCAAACGGG
This 253-nucleotide ribosomal RNA is filed under the name uncultured bacterium. Its description in RNAcentral is "partial 16S ribosomal RNA". It matches the Rfam family "Bacterial small subunit ribosomal RNA", at positions 524 to 776 of the family's 1533-position model. The record is from RNAcentral.